UAAUCGCUUAUGACCAAGCAAGUAGCGUAUACCUCUAUUGGAACAGAGAGGGAAAGACUUAGGCUGCAAUCUUUCCUACAAAAAUGUAUCACGCGAAUAACACUUGAGAGGCUUUUUUCUGAAAAGCAGUGCUUAGUAGGAAAAAACGGAAUCGGCCGUUAUCCGAUUACGAGGAGGACACAUGUAAUUAAUUGUGUCAACUAGGGUGGAACCGCGGAAGCUUAUAUAGCUCUCGUCCCUUGC
Molecule: non-coding RNA, 243 nt
Organism: Lysinibacillus sp. F5
Lineage: Bacteria; Bacillati; Bacillota; Bacilli; Caryophanales; Bacillaceae
Source: Rfam